Molecule: non-coding RNA, 893 nt
Organism: Phascolarctos cinereus (koala)
Lineage: Eukaryota; Metazoa; Chordata; Mammalia; Diprotodontia; Phascolarctidae
Source: RefSeq, a predicted model, not a curated record
UUCAAAACAAAAAAGUAGGAGUUGGAUUUGGAGACCUCUGGUUUCCUUGAGAGCCGCGGAAGGCGAAGGGGGGAAAAAGAAGAGGAGAAUGAGAGAGCAAGCUUUACCCCUCCACUUCCCCUCAGGUAGCAGCAAGGAAUACACGUUUGCAGAAAGGACUGGGGGGUGGGGGGUGGGGAGAAGAACCCCAAAUGCAAAACAACCUUUCUACCAAAAAAAAAAAAAGGCAGUUCAACGAAGGCUAAGAAGGUUUGGAGGAAAGAGAAACUCCAGGAUCGGUCUGCCUGUUGUACGUCCAAGGGAGAGCUGGAAGUGCCUGUGUGUGAAGCGUGAGAUACCCUCGCGUACACUCUCAGAGCCUAAGGAAGGGCUAGGGGAGAGGAAAAGGGAAGAUCCUGCCGGCCUCUCCCUCUCCUCGGGGGUCUCCCGCAAUGGCAUCAGGCAGAGGCAGCCAGCGGAGCAGCGGAUCUUCCGAGCUCUCAGGAGUCCUGGGCUCGCCGCGGAGCCUUUUUCUGUCUGCGGGCAGUCCCGGAUCUCAGUAACCUGUACGCCCCAAGGACUUGGGGGCAACCCCUCCGCGAGUUUCGGAGCUGUGGAGGGGUCCGCCCACCUGACUGGCAGGUGGGGACCGUAAGGAUGCAGAAAUCCCAGAGAAGACGCAAGACGGGUGCGAAUCGCCCCCAGCAGGUCCUCACGCCUCAGACCCGAUCGGCAGCGGAGGCGGCGGCGGCAGUAGCUGAAGGAGCAACAACAGCACACAGGUUGGGUCUGUAUGCAGGACAAAAGGCUUCUCUGGAAUUAAGUAAAGCAACACUGGAGCAUGUGGCAACUACAUAGCACAGUACAGUGCCAGUCCUGGAGUCAGGAAGAUUCAUCUUCCUGAGUUCAAAUCU